Long non-coding RNA from Brassica rapa (field mustard), 1153 nucleotides. RefSeq lists it as uncharacterized. The record is from RefSeq and is a predicted model, not a curated record. NCBI's taxonomy places the organism in Eukaryota, Viridiplantae, Streptophyta, Magnoliopsida, Brassicales, Brassicaceae.
GUUCAAAAUGAUGUUUGUAGUAGAAUAUGGAAUAUGGUUGUAUAUGCCCUGAGAAAGAUAUGUACAAGACUAACCUUGUUGCAGCGAGGAAUGAGUUCUUGGAGGGCCUUCAUCUUCUCGUUGAUCUUUUCUCUCCGUCUCUGUUACAAAAAAAAAAAAAGAAAAAAAAAGAAUACUACAUUGUUAGUGAAUAAGAAACACAAGAGAGCCCCAGUGUUGAAACUCAAAGAGAGGAUAAAUAAUAUGAAGAACCCUUUCGGAGAUGUUAGAGCAUCAUUAUCGGGGUCUUUUAAGCCCGUCUCUUAGUGUUUUCAGAAUUAAAAAAAAAAAAAAAAUAGCAAUUAUCUCAAACUACGUCUCUUAAUCAAGCAAAAGAAGAGACGGUCUCUUCUUGCUCUCUCUAUCGCGAAGAAGGAAGAAAGAAGAAGAAGCCAUGGCAGGAGUAGGACUUUUCCGGUAGAAGGAGAAUUUGUGUUUGUAUGGACAUCCGAGUGAGUUGUGGGAAGUGAACGAAACCCUAAUUCUUCCUCUGGAUUCAAUUCGAUUUCUUCGUAAUCUGCCAUGGAUGCUCAACGAGCUCUGUUUGACGAACUUAUGGGCGCAGAGAUGUUGGAACAGAGGAGGAGGCUCUGUUGAAAAAUGUGGAGAGAAUGGAGUCGGACAUAGUAGCGGGAUGCUUUUGCAACGCGGCGCAGGUGAUUGGAAUGAAGUGUUUGGUGACGGCAGUGGAAGUGAGAGAAGCUGCGAUGCAUCUGGGGAGAACAGAGAAGAUACUUGAGAUUGUGGACAGGAGAUGCAUGCCUGCUUUAUCUCAUCACGAAGUGGCGAAGAUUGAUGAGUGGACAGAAGUUGGUGCGUUAUACUCUCCUAUUACUUUUCUUAAUUCGAAUUGAUUUCUUCUCUAGACUGCCUUGUUUCAGCUCCAUGUCUGUGGUAAGGCAGUUGAAUCAGUUUCAAGUUUAUUGAAUGCUUGAACUUGUGUUUACAAAGUGAAUGGUAACCGAAUGUAGUACCUACGGCAACAUAUGAUUCGCACGUUCAGCCUAGCAACGAGAUAAAAUUAAAUUUGAACUUGAAUUGCCAUAACUGAACAAAACGCUUUGUAAGACCUUAUUCACAUUUGUUAAAUCAUUUCAUUAUAUUACACCUUUGA